UCUCCUUUCGCUGACUCUUUUUGGACUCAGCCCACCUGCACCCAGGUGAUUAAAAAGCUUUAUUGCUCACACAAACCCUGUUUGGUGGUCUCUUCACACAGACACACGUGACAUUUGGUGCCGAAGACCCAGGACAGGAGGACUCCUUCAGGAGACCGGUCCCCUGUGCUUGCCCUCACUUCCGUGAGGAGAUCUGCCUACAACCUUGGGUCCUCAGACCAACCAGCCCAAGGAACAUCUCACCAAUUUCAAAUCGGGUAGGCAGUCUUUUCACUCUCUUUUCCAGCCUCUCUUGCUACCCUUCAAUCUCCCUGUCCUUCCAAUUCCAGUUAUUUUUCCUCUCUAGUAGAGACAAAGAAGACACAUUUUAUCCGUGGACCCAAAACUCCGGCGCCAGUCACAGACUCGGGAAGAUAGUCUUCCCUUGGUGUUUAAUCGCUGCGGGGACGCCUGCCUGAUUAUUCACCCACACUCCAUUGGUGUCUGAUCACCGUGGGGAUGCCUGCCUUGGUCAUUCACCCACAUUCCCUUGGUGGCAAGUCAAUUGCGGGGAUGCCUGCUUUGGCUGCUCACCCACAUUGCAGCCCAGGGCUGCUCACUACCCCCACCCCUUCUCCGUGUCUCUACCCUCUCUUUUCUCUGGGCUUGCCUCCUUCACUAUGGGCAACCUUCCACCCUCCAUUCCCCCUUCUGCUCCCUUAGCCUGUCUUCUCAAAAACUUAAAACCUCUUCACCUCUCACCUGACCUAAAACCUAAGCAUCUUAUUUUCUUGUGUAACACCGCUUGGCCCCAAUACAAACUUGAUAAUGGUUCUAAAUAGCCAGAAAACAGCACUUUUGAUUUCUCCAUUUUACAAGACCCGGAUGAUUUUUGUUGAAAAAUGGGCAAAUGGGUCUGAGGUGCCUGACUUCCAGGCAUUCUUCUACACAUUGGUCCCUCCCUAGUCUCUGCUCCCAAUGUGACUCAUCCCAAAUCUGUCUUCUUUCUCUCCUGUCUGUUCCUUCAGUCUCCACCCCAAGCUCUGAGUCCUUGAAUCCUCCUUUUCUACAGACCCAUCUGACCUCUCCCCUCCUCCCCAAGGCUGCUCCUCACCAGGCCAAGCCAGGUCCCAAUUCUUCUUCAGCCUCCACUAUCCCACCCUAUAAUCCUUUUAUCACCUCGCCUCCUCACACCUGGUCUGGCUUACAGUUUCAUUCCACGACUAGCCCUUCCCGACCUGCCCAACAAUUUCCUCUUAAAGAGGUGGCUGGAGCUAAAGGCACAGUCAAGGUUAAUGCUCCUUUUUCUUUAUCCGACCUCUCCCAAAUCAGUUAGUGUUUAGGCUCUUUUUCAUCAAAUAUAAAACUCAACCCAGUUCAUGGCCCAUUUGGCAACAACCCUUAGAUGCUUUACCACCCUAGACCCAGAAGGGCCAGAAGGCCGUCUUAUUCUCAGUAUGCAUUUUAUUACCCAAUCCACUCCCGACAUUAAAUAAAGCUCCAAAAAUUAGAUUCCGGCCCUCAAACCCCAUAACAGGACUUAACUAACCUCACCUUCAAGAUGUACAAUAAUAGAGUAGAGGCAGCCAAGUAGCAACAUAUUUCUGAGUUGCAAUUCCUUGCCUCCACCGUGAGAGAAACCCCAGCCACAUCUCCAGCACACAAGAACUUCAAAAUGCCUAAGCCACAGUGGUCAAGCAUUCCUUCAGGACCUCCUCCCCCAGGAUCUUACUUCAGUGCUGGAAAUCUGGCCACUGGGCCAAGGAAUGCCCACAGCCUGGGAUACCUCCUAAGCCGUGUCCCAUCUAUGCGGGACCCCACUGGAAAUCAGACUGUCCAACUCGCCCAGCAGCCACUCCCAGAGCCCCUGGAACUCUGGCCCAAGGCUCUCUGACUGACUCCUUCCCAGAUCUUCUUGGCUUAGCGGCUGAAGACUGACGCUGCACCAUCACCUCAGAAGCCUCCUGGACCAUCACAGAUGCUUUUGGCAACUCUUACAGUGGAAGACAGGACUAUCAGGCCUCUGAGCCCAAGCUAAGCCAUCAUAUCCCCUGUGACCUGCACGUAUACAUCCAGAUGGCCUGAAGGAAGUGAAGAAUCACAAAAGAAGUGAAAAUGGCCGGUUUCUGCCUUAACUGAUGACAUUCCACCAUUGCGACUUGUUUCUGCCCCAUCUUAACUGAGCGAUUAACCUUGUGAAAUUCCUUCUCCUGGCUCAGAAGCUCCCCCACUGAGCAACUUGUGACACACGCCCCUGCUCAUAAGAGAAAACCCCCUUUAACUGUAAUUUUUGACUACCCACCCAAAUCCUAUAAAACGGCCCCACCCCAUCUCCCUUCGCUGACUCUUUUCGGACUCAGCCCGCC
Molecule: long non-coding RNA, 2345 nt
Filed under: Homo sapiens (human)
Lineage: Eukaryota; Metazoa; Chordata; Mammalia; Primates; Hominidae
Description: HSALNT0341633
Source: RNAcentral